Non-coding RNA from Gossypium raimondii (Peruvian cotton), 137 nucleotides. The record is from Rfam. NCBI's taxonomy places the organism in Eukaryota, Viridiplantae, Streptophyta, Magnoliopsida, Malvales, Malvaceae.
UGUUAACAAUUUUAUUUAUUUGUAUUAUUAAAAACUAACUGUAAUAAUUAAAUAAUAACACGCGAUGUGUCACAUGAACCUCAUGCUGACAUAUAGAGAUUAGUUUUUAACGAUAAAAAUAGAUAGAACUUUUAAUA